GGGCCCGCACAAGCGGUGGAGCAUGUGGUUUAAUUCGAUGCAACGCGAAGAACCUUACCAGGGUUUGACAUAGUACGAAGUUUUUUGAAAAAAAACCACCUUCGGGAACGUACAUACAGGUGGUGCAUGGCUGUCGUCAGCUCGUGUCGUGAGAUGUUGGGUUAAGUCCCGCAACGAGCGUAACCCUUGUUUUUAGUUGCCUUUCGAGGAUAUUUAGAAAGACUGCCGAUUAUAAAUCGGAGGAAGGUAAGGACGACGUCAAGUCAUCAUGCCCCUUACACUCUGGGCUACACACGUGCUACAAUGGUAGGUACAGAGGGAAGCCACCCCGCGAGGGGAGCG
This 342-nucleotide ribosomal RNA is filed under the name uncultured bacterium. Its description in RNAcentral is "partial 16S ribosomal RNA". It matches the Rfam family "Bacterial small subunit ribosomal RNA", at positions 917 to 1269 of the family's 1533-position model. The record is from RNAcentral.